This 253-nucleotide ribosomal RNA is filed under the name uncultured archaeon. Its description in RNAcentral is "partial 16S ribosomal RNA". It matches the Rfam family "Archaeal small subunit ribosomal RNA", at positions 474 to 727 of the family's 1478-position model. The record is from RNAcentral.
UACCAGCACCCCGAGUGGUCGGGACGUUUAUUGGGCCUAAAGCAUCCGUAGCCGGUUCUACGAGUCUUCCGUUAAAUCCAACUGCUUAACAGGUGGGCUGCGGAAGAUACUAUAGAGCUAGGAGGCGGGAGAGGCAAGCGGUACUUAGUGGGUAGGGGUAAAAUCCGUUGAUCCAUUGAAGACCACCAGUGGCGAAGGCGGCUUGCCAGAACGCACUCGACGGUGAGGGAUGAAAGCUGGGGGAGCAAACCGG